Molecule: microRNA precursor, 96 nt
Filed under: Equus asinus (donkey)
Lineage: Eukaryota; Metazoa; Chordata; Mammalia; Perissodactyla; Equidae
Also listed under: 1 other name
Description: mir-544 microRNA precursor family
Rfam family: mir-544 microRNA precursor family
Source: Rfam by way of RNAcentral
AUCACCUGGGGAGCUUGUUAAAUGCAAAUUCUGUUUCAGGAAGUCUGGGAUGGGACCUAAGAUUUUGCAUUUCUAAUAAGUGCCAGGUGAUGCCAA